Molecule: ribosomal RNA, 523 nt
Filed under: uncultured marine eukaryote
Lineage: Eukaryota
Description: SSU rRNA
Rfam family: Eukaryotic small subunit ribosomal RNA
Source: RNAcentral
AGUCAUAUGCUUGUCUCAAAGAUUAAGCCAUGCAUGUCUAAGUAUAAGCGACUAUACUGUGAAACUGCGAAUGGCUCAUUAAAUCAGUUAUGGUUUAUUUGAUGGUACCUACUACUUGGAUAACCGUAGUAAUUCUAGAGCUAAUACAUGCAGGAAGACCCGACUUCGGAAGGGUUGUAUUUAUUAGAUAAGAAACCAAUCCAGCUUGCUGGUUGCGUGCCGAGUCACAAUAACUGCUCGAAUCGCAUGACUUUACGUCGGCGAUGGUUCAUUCAAAUUUCUGCCCUAUCAGCUUUCAAUGGUAGGAUCGAGGCCUACCAUGGCGUUUACGGGUAACGGAGAAUUAGGGUUCGAUUCCGGAGAGGGAGCCUGAGAAAUGGCUACCACAUCCAAGGAAGGCAGCAGGCGCGUAAAUUGCCCGAAUCCUGACACAGGGAGGUAGUGACAAGAAAUAACGAUACAGGGCUACAUCUAGUCUUGUAAUUGGAAUGAGUACAAUUUACAUCUCUUAACGAUGAUCAAU